This is a non-coding RNA of Pteropus alecto (black flying fox), 74 nucleotides long. NCBI's taxonomy places the organism in Eukaryota, Metazoa, Chordata, Mammalia, Chiroptera, Pteropodidae. The record is from Rfam.
GGCUCCAUAGUGUAGUGGUUAGCGGGUCUGCUUUACACGCAGAAGGUCCUGGGUUUGCGCCCCAGGUGGAGCCA